Molecule: long non-coding RNA, 2058 nt
Organism: Selaginella moellendorffii
Lineage: Eukaryota; Viridiplantae; Streptophyta; Lycopodiopsida; Selaginellales; Selaginellaceae
Exons: 8
Source: RefSeq, a predicted model, not a curated record
AGAGGCCGUCGUGCGCCGCGCCACCGCGCAGGAGAGCGAUGCGUAGGAAACGUAAGGCGGUGGAAUCCGAAUCGGAGGCCGAGCUCGGCACAGGGCGCGUUCUAUGCCUACAGCGCCGACAACACGCCACUCGAUGAUCUUUGGAGGCGGCGGCUCCACGCGCUUCCGCAAGAUCAUCGCCCAUGAAAUCCUCGUCGCCGUCAAUCUGUGCUCCGGGAUUGCAGCAGAAGAGCCCUAACGAUCUGCUAGGCUUGGAGCCGGAGAAGAACGACUAUGACUGCUGCUAAUCGAGCUUCUCUGCCAGAAGAUCGAUCACGUCGAGUCCUUGGAAGGGGUGCCGGAGGCUUUAAAGCCGUGCAUUACGUCCAAGCUAUACGAGCUUGUCCCAAGGCAGUGCAGAUAAUCCUGGCAGGACCUCUCACGCGGAUCUUCAUCCCAGGAGUUGAUGGAAAACUCUCCCCUCGAUGGAGUCCAGGCUUUGGAGCUCGGGUUCUGUGGCCGAGCACUCUCCGACCAAAUGCUGCAGAGAUUUGCGUUUCCACAGCUGAGAAAGCUCCGGCUGCAUGGGAACUAUCGGCUGUUAGACUCGGAAGUGCGGGCACUGAUACGAUCUGCCACCAGAGGUUUGAGGGACGUAUCUCACCGAGGCGUCCGUCCAGGAGCUAGCAACCUUUCACGGGCGAUAUGCGAUGCGAUUCUUGGCAUUUUGAAGCUUCUCGAGCUGACGUUCCUUUCUCUCGCGAGCGUGAACCGACAAAUUGCUAAGUGAGCUCAUGGUGGCUAGGGGGCCGACACUGGAAGAGCUCAAUAAGGACACCAUCGUUUGACUUCAGUGACGAGGUACUGGCGGACUUCGUCAUGGCCGCUGGAAGCUCGCUGCGCAACCUGUCCACCACAAGCGUGAAAAAGGCACGUCGAUCAAAGCGAUCCAAGCUAGUGCGUUCUUUUGCCGCAGAGCGACCGAGGGCGGGUUUGGAUUCCUUGUCCCAAUCUCGUGGAGCUCAGACUCUUUGGUUGCGUUGCACCCAGGUACCUGCUGCUCGUCUACCUGCAAAUAAAAAAAUCGCGUUUCUUUGAGUGGGCUUGAUAGGAUUUUUCAGGGAGAAUGCUGCUAAUAGUCGGCGUUGCCCUAAAAGGGUUUCAAGCAGAGAUAGCAGAGCGCCAGGCAAGGUCUCAUUUUCAGCUCCAGCAACCCUAGCGCUCCAGCUCCGCUCAGGUGAGUAGGUGGUUUUGAUUAUUCUGGUUUUGUGCCCAUCAGAAUGGAUGUGAACGUGAGUGUGAUUGUGGCAAUCACCAUGGGUGUUUGUACUUUCACUACGGUAGUUUGCAUUGCCGCUCAUUACCGACCUAACCUCAUCACCAAGAGCGUCAUCACCAUGGCUUCUUCAAUCAGGGGAGUAGUGAAGGAGGAUCUGCAAGCUUUCCAUAGAGCUCUCAAGGAGGACCUUUUCAGGCUUAACUAGAACUUUGGAGUAGCUACCUCCAUCCUCAAACAGGACUUCCUCAAACAGGACUUCAUAGCAGCUACUACCAACCUGAAGCAGGAUUUUUCCAGCCUCAAGCAUGAUUUGGGAGUAGCUAUUGCCAGCGUCAAGCAUGAUGUGCGAGUAGUGUGCAUGAUGUGCAAUCCUGCUUGAUGCUAGUAAUAGCUACUGCACAGUCUUGCUUCUGCAAGUGCAACUGGUGCAAUUCAUACUGCAGUGAUACAGGAUUUUGGUGCCUUGCAUGGAGUGGUGAGGGCUGAUGGGACGAUGAUGCGAGAUGCCCUGCAAGCUGAGGCAGCUGCAGCCCACAGUCAAGCAAUGAACGACUGUUCUACAAGGCUCUAUCUGAGUUUGAAUGGCUUGAUCCAGUCGUGUGCAAACCGCACAGUGGUUGGAAAAUUUUUUCUGAUUCGGGUCUUCGUCUCCUCGAAAUAAAAAGGCUCAUGUCUUGAGCUUCUGAUAGUGGAUCAGUGUAACUAUUUAUUCAGCAGACCGGGAUUUCUGGGUACACUUCAAUUGCUUUGUAUGAUAACGGAACACAUUCAAUCGAACCUUUCAAGUUUUCUGUCUUCAA